CCUACGGGUGGCAGCAGUCGAGAAUCAUUCACAAUGGGGGAAACCCUGAUGCAGCGACGCCGCGUGGGGGAAUGAAGGUCUUCGGAUUGUAAACUCCUGUCAUGUGGGAGCAAAUUAAAAAGAUAGUACCACAAGAGGAAGAGACUGCUAACUCUGUGCCAGCAGCCGCGGUAAUACAGAGGUCUCAAGCGUUGUCCGGAAUCACUGGGCAUAAAGCGUGCGGAGGCUGGUUGGUCAGUCAGGUGUGAAAGUCGCGGGCUCAACCCGCGGACUGCACAUGAUACUGCGAGACUAGAGUACUGGAGAGGGAAGCGGAAUUCUCGGUGUAGCGGUGAAAUGCGUAGAUAUCGAGAAGAACCCUGGUGGCGAAGGCAGGUUACUGGACACCAACUGACGCUGAGGCACGAAGGUGAGGGGAGCGAACAGGAUUAGAUACCCUUGUAGUC
Molecule: ribosomal RNA, 446 nt
Filed under: uncultured bacterium
Lineage: Bacteria
Description: partial 16S ribosomal RNA
Rfam family: Bacterial small subunit ribosomal RNA
Source: RNAcentral